This 32-nucleotide non-coding RNA is filed under the name Geobacter sulfurreducens KN400. The record is from RNAcentral. Lineage: Bacteria; Pseudomonadati; Thermodesulfobacteriota; Desulfuromonadia; Geobacterales; Geobacteraceae.
UGGCUAUCUGCCCUGUGGGGUGCUGGCCCUAU